GCUUUCCGCGCCCUCUGUCCGUCGAUCCGGUGGCGAACGCGUGCACUUUUCUUCAGGUAGGACGUCGCGAUCCGUCGGGCGUCGUUCUACGGCCGUCGCAGGGAGUCCGCUCGUCGUCUUCACGGACGCGGGCGGACCCGCGCUUGUCCCGGCCGACUUGCUCGACGGUAUACGAAAGGUUUAAGGUUGCUCUUUAGGGAGCAUUUGGCUCGCGGCAAGCGUUCCAGAUGCGUCGGCGAUCGGACUCCGCGCCGAUUCUGACCUCCGGUGACUGUUGGCCGCGAAGUUCUCGAAAAGACCUUAGGACCGAUCCGCGACGCUAUAGCUUUGGGUAAUUUCAG
This 341-nucleotide ribosomal RNA is filed under the name Lobosoma rausense. RNAcentral describes it as "eukaryotic LSU rRNA". The record is from RNAcentral. Lineage: Eukaryota; Metazoa; Arthropoda; Insecta; Coleoptera; Curculionidae.